ACGGCGGUAUGUCUGAUUCGUCUCGCUUUCUCUUCCUUCCUACCAUAACCACCUGCUCCGAUCUCCUUCGAAGAGAUGGGCUUGCUCGCAAGAGAGAAGGAUCUGCUUCCCCAUCUUCUCCGGUUCUUUUUCUAAAGCGAUGAGCAGGAUUAAGGGAUUUCAAGCUUUUUUUGGCUCACUAAUUCUGGGAACAUAUACUCAGGCAGUGAACUGAAGAAUUGGCACGGUGCAGUGCAGUUGGUAUGCAGCAAUAUUUGAAACAUUGGCUGCCUUUCAUUAAAGAGUAGUUUGAGUAACUUAUAUCAUCCGAUUUUGAUAAUGAUGAUAGUUUGGGAAGCAAAGGCAGGGAUGGAAGUCGUACCUGUUUUCAUAACGGUUGAUCCUGAGAGAGAUAAUGUUGAACAAGUAUGUGAAUGUGUGAAAGAUUUCUUUGCUUUGGAUUGCAGAAUUUCACCCAGACUUAAUAGGCUUGACUGGUACAGCAGAUGAGACUAGACCAGUUGCUCAUGCUUUUCGAGUCUAUUACAUGAAGACGGAGCAGGAGGGUUCUGACUACCUUGUCGACCACUCUAUUGUUAUGUACAUAUUGCUGAUAGAACCUUCUCAGGUGCAAUUUAUUUAACAGGUGUCAUGCUGCAUUUUUGUCGGAGACAAGCCAAGGUGCGAAUACAGCGUAUGAGGUUUACCGCUAAUGUAGGAUCUCAAGGGGAUCAGCCUCCUUUGUAUAUAGAGGAGCUGUUCCCACGACGUGAAGACACUGGCAUGGACAGGGUCACAGGGUACAAUUGCCAACUGCAUGGAUAUUCAAAUUCUGCCUCUUGAUUUUAUUAAUCAUGAUUGGUAUUUAAAUGCAAGUUAUGAUGGCUUUCAUUAUCAUGAACAGGUAUUGUUGGCUGAUUCAACUAUGAGCAUUUUGAAAGUAGUUUCUUCCAUGAUCAUUUCUGCCUCAACUUGAGUGGUAUUACUGAAUCUUCCAAAACAAGUUACAUGAUGACGUCAGGACCAUAAAAGAAGAGUUUGUGAAUGGUCCUACAUAUGUCAUAAAUUUUAUGGUCCUUUUUGUCCAUUCAGUAUUAGCAUGAUUCAUAGAGACAUUUAAUAUAAUCGCUUUUAGUGUGACCUUCUGUCUUGUAUUUUGCAAUUUCAAGACCCAGAUAUUUGAAUGCAUCUCUAGGUCUGCAUCUUUACAUAUAAAAUUCUGUUUGAUUUUGAUGCAUACAUGCUGAUUACUCUGCUUGAAGUUGUAUUGUUUACUGAAAUCACUUCUUGUAGUGGGCUGAAGCUUGUAAGCUGUCAUAGAUCUUUUAAACAUGUUCUGGCAAUUAGAUCCAUUGUACUGAUUUUUUUGUUCUGAACAGCUUGCAGGUGCUUGAUGAACCCAAACAUGGAGCUCGUCAAAUUUUUUGGCAAGAAUUAUGAUGCUGAUGCACGUGCAGAAGGUGUGGUCAAAGAGAUCAAAGCAUGCACAUGAUAGAUACAAUGGCAUUCUUUUGCUAUCCAAAACUCAACUUAUUUGUGAAUUAAUCAUUAAUGCAUUCAUUCAUGUGUUAGGCAUCAUAGUUCUACGGCAACCAUGUUUCUCGGUGUGAUUUUGAGUUGGUAAUAAGCUGUAGGACUGUACAAAAGUAUUGUUUCAUAAGCAUCCUCUUCUAACUCAUACAGAGAGUUCGAACUCACAUGCAUAAGAGUAUUCCCAUCA
Molecule: non-coding RNA, 1699 nt
Organism: Musa acuminata subsp. malaccensis (wild Malaysian banana)
Lineage: Eukaryota; Viridiplantae; Streptophyta; Magnoliopsida; Zingiberales; Musaceae
Source: RefSeq, a predicted model, not a curated record